AGAGUUUGAUCAUGGCUCAGGAUGAACGCUAGCUACAGGCUUAACACAUGCAAGUCGAGGGGAAACGAUAUUGGAAGCUUGCUUCCGAUAGGCGUCGACCGGCGCACGGGUGAGUAACGCGUAUCCAACCUGCCCACCACUUGGGGAUAACCUUGCGAAAGUAAGACUAAUACCCAAUGACGUCUCUAGAAGACAUCUGAAAGAGAUUAAAGAUUUAUCGGUGAUGGAUGGGGAUGCGUCUGAUUAGCUUGUUGGCGGGGUAACGGCCACCAAGGCUACGAUCAGUAGGGGUUCUGAGAGGAAGGUCCCCCGACAUUGGAACUGAGACACGGUCCAAACUCUACGGAGGCA
RNAcentral lists this ribosomal RNA (351 nucleotides) under uncultured bacterium. RNAcentral describes it as "bacterial SSU rRNA". It matches the Rfam family "Bacterial small subunit ribosomal RNA", at positions 8 to 350 of the family's 1533-position model. The record is from RNAcentral.